GGCUUUAUUACAUUUAAAAACCCAAAACUUCAAACGUAAAUAAAAGGAUGUCUAGUUCACCAAAAGAAAAUCAAACUUUCAGAACGGGUGGCCACUCCGAAUUCCCUCACAGUUCCAAGCCUACUAUAGUUGGGGAUUUCCUGCGUGGAUGAAAAUAAAAGGGGUGAGUUUGGGGAAACUCAGUGUGUAAGGAAAACCCAUUUAAAGCCCAAGUCAGCUCAAGCCUAUUGGGCCUAAGCCCAUUCAGGUAACAGUGGUACUGGACCAGAGCCCUUUUCAGAUUACAAUAAACUGGGCCUUAGCCUCUUAUUCAGAUAACAGUAUGGCCCAUAGGCCCAUUUCAAAAUACAUGCAACAUCAAUAACAUAUGCAAGCCCAUUUGGGGAGACUACUCAACCCACCAACCACUACACUCCACCCGUACCAGCCCUACACUCCAUGUGGGGAAUAGCUCAACCCACCCAGCCCAACACUCCACAGUUGCAGCCUUACUGCUCAGUUAAUAGUAAAUUGAGGCAAAGCCUCCAGUACGUGGACAAGCCACUUUCAGUACUUCCUCCGUCAAUAUCCCAAUCCCAUGCAUCAGAUAAUAACAACAUGGAAUGCAGUAAAUAACAACAGUCAAACAUGCAUUUAGGUCAAAUUAACCCUAGGGGCAUUUCGGUAAUUUAUCUACUAGGAUAAAACUGUAAAUUUUCCACUUUUAAAGGUAUUUCAGUAAUUUAACUAUUUUAGGGUUUUUCAUGCAUAUUCCUACUUUUCACGUACUAACAGAAUCACGUACCGAGGGUUCUUACCGAAUUGGGCCCGUUGGCCCAUCAUUCCAAUUUUGGCCUAUUAAGCCCAAAAAUAUCUAGGGCACAGAAAUCAUGCACUUUGCAGUCCAAAUUUUUCAGUUUACCAAAAACAUUAAUCGAUUUACCUCACGAGCAUUCGCACACUCGCAAAUCUACAAAAUACCAGUUUUUGGCAUUUUGACUUUUUGACUUUUCGACUUUUGCCGAUCCAGACUAAGAAAGAGGGUGUUAGUUACACACCUGUUUGCGACGAUAUGCUGACGAGAUCCACACACGAACUGCCUACAAUUUGAUUACUAACACGUUAAUCUAACUAUUCAAAUAUGAACUACGUAUUAACCCCUUACAAUAUUCGGC
This 1154-nucleotide long non-coding RNA is filed under the name Gossypium barbadense (sea-island cotton). RNAcentral describes it as "long non-coding RNA (GBAR_LNC006216)". The record is from RNAcentral. Lineage: Eukaryota; Viridiplantae; Streptophyta; Magnoliopsida; Malvales; Malvaceae.